AUGAACGCUGGCGGCGUGCCUAAUACCUGCCAGUCGAGCGAACGGACGAGAAGCUUGCUUCUCUGAUGUUAGCGGCGGACGGGUGAGUAACACGUGGAUAACCUACCUAUAAGACUGGGAUAACUUCGGGAAACCGGAGCUAAUACCGGAUAAUAUUUUGAACCGCUUGGUUCAAAAGUGAAAGACGGUCUUGCUGUCACUUAUAGAUGGAUCCGCGCUGCAUUAGCUAGUUGGUAAGGUAACGGCUUACCAAGGCAACGAUGCAUAGCCGACCUGAGAGGGUGAUCGGCCACACUGGAACUGAGACACGGUCCAGACGCCUAAGGGAGGCAGCAGUAGGGAAUCGUCCGCAAUGGGCGAAAGCCUGACGGAGCAACGCCGCGUGAAUGAUGAAGGUCUUCGGAUCGUAAAACUCUGUUAUUAGGGAAGAACAUAUGUGUAAGUAACUGUGCACAUCUUGACGGUACCUAAUCAGAAAGCCACGGCUAACUACGUG
RNAcentral lists this ribosomal RNA (496 nucleotides) under uncultured bacterium. RNAcentral's name for it is "partial 16S ribosomal RNA". It matches the Rfam family "Bacterial small subunit ribosomal RNA", at positions 29 to 507 of the family's 1533-position model. The record is from RNAcentral.